AAUAUUUAAAAUAAUACUUUUUUUUUAUUAUUAUUUUUCUUUUGCUUUUGGGCAGAAAUAUGACCUGGACACUUCACAUUUUUCAGACUCUUCCCAGAAAUGGAAGUUGAUUUUCACUUUGCAUACUUUGAUGUCUUAAUUAAAAAUGAAGUAUUAGUAUUAUGAAAUUGAAACUGAAAAUAUCUUCAGUAUUUAAACUUAAAAAGUGUCACAGCUUACCCCAAAUCCCACAUCCACAGCCAACAAACAAACAUACUGAAUGGUAAUUUGGUCCAGGAGUCAGAGCCUUUGUUGUUUUUGGCACUGUCCUCUUUAAGCAGUGUUAAGCGAUCCUGAAACGAAGGAUAACAGGAAUGACAUCCACAACUGCUUAGCAGAAGCAUUUGCAAUGCAUUCAAAUAGCGUUUUGGACAGAAGUCAUACUAAAAAUGAAUGUCAUUGCAUUAGAUAAGAAAUUAUCAACGCAAUUUACAUUUAUGGUGAAUAAAGAUAGUUGAGCACACCUUUCCAGCAAACAAUUUGACAAAAACAAGUGAUAAAACAAGAGAUCUAGAAAAAAUGACGACUAAAAAGCACCAGAACUCCAAAAAUGGUUACAGACAACUGAUCUAUUGAAUGACAUUCACAAAUACUGUCUAAGCAGCGAUUUCUCAGUACUGCUUUUUUCGGACUUGUCAUCAGCACAAAAGCUUUGUGAGGUCAUUAGCACAUUGUGUCGCUGUCGUAGCAGGUGUGUGUGUGUGUGUGUGUGUGUGUGAGGACGCAGAAUGAGCGGCUCCCCGCAGGGACUCUUCAUUGUUUAAGAUUAUCGAUCGCCCCUCUGCUCUGAACUAAUGGGCGUCCCAGCCGUCAUUUAAAUGUGCAAACACUGUCCUUCCAAACAAACUGUGUCUUAUCAUAUUCCUUUUCAGUUCUAACCGAUGGUAUCAUGAUAGUUUGAAUACUUUGUGGGCUCUGUAACUAUGCAAAGAAGGAAAAAAAAAUACAUAUCAGGAUCCAUUAUACACAUUUUUUUAUGCCCUGUGAUGAUGCAAAUGGUACAAAACAAAAGCUUGAGCUUGGAUGCAAAAACAUAAUUGAUUCUACAGUAUGUUUGACAUUUUGUUUAUUUUGUAGGUGUGUAUUCAAGAGUGUUAUUAAUAAAAUAGAGUUCUUAUUAAAGCACGGUUUAUGGAUUUCUGUGAACUGCGAUGAAGCCAAAGAAGAUAGUAUUCUCGUUAAAGAUGUGUACACUUAGACCUCAUAGGAGUGGUUUCUGUCACAAUCGUUGCAGCUUUAUCAUCGCAUCCAUAUAAUAUGUCUUUAUGUUUGUUACAGUGUUUUGGGGUUGGGACAUUUGAAUGUUAUUAAAUGUGUCUUUAGAUUAUAAUUUUUUUUUAGAUAAAGUUGUUGAAUUUUUUUGCACUAACUAUUGGAAUAAAGAU
Molecule: long non-coding RNA, 1424 nt
Organism: Cyprinus carpio carpio
Lineage: Eukaryota; Metazoa; Chordata; Actinopteri; Cypriniformes; Cyprinidae
Source: Ensembl